This 1174-nucleotide ribosomal RNA is filed under the name Listeria monocytogenes. RNAcentral describes it as "partial 23S ribosomal RNA". It matches the Rfam family "Bacterial large subunit ribosomal RNA", at positions 1013 to 2185 of the family's 2925-position model. The record is from RNAcentral. Lineage: Bacteria; Bacillati; Bacillota; Bacilli; Caryophanales; Listeriaceae.
AAAGGGAAACAGCCCAGACCACCAGUUAAGGUCCCCAAAUAUAUGUUAAGUGGAAAAGGAUGUGGGGUUGCUUAGACAACCAGGAUGUUGGCUUAGAAGCAGCCACCAUUGAAAGAGUGCGUAAUAGCUCACUGGUCGAGUGACCCCGCGCCGAAAAUGUACCGGGGCUAAACAUAUUACCGAAACUGUGGAUGAACCUCUUUAGAGGUUCGUGGUAGGAGAGCGUUCUAAGGGCGGUGAAGUCAGACCGGAAGGACUGGUGGAGCGCUUAGAAGUGAGAAUGCCGGUAUGAGUAGCGAAAGAAGGGUGAGAAUCCCUUCCACCGAAUAUCUAAGGUUUCCUGAGGAAGGCUCGUCCGCUCAGGGUUAGUCGGGACCUAAGCCGAGGCCGAUAGGCGUAGGCGAUGGACAACAGGUAGAGAUUCCUGUACCAGUGCUAAUUGUUUAACCGAUGGGGUGACACAGAAGGAUAGGGAAUCGCACGAAUGGAAAUGUGCGUCCAAGCAGUGAGUGUGAGAAGUAGGCAAAUCCGCUUCUCGCGAAGCAUGAGCUGUGAUGGGGAAGGAAAUUAAGUACGGAAGUUCCUGAUUUCACGCUGUCAAGAAAAGCCUCUAGGAAGAGUAGUACUGCCCGUACCGCAAACCGACACAGGUAGAUGAGGAGAGAAUCCUAAGGUGAGCGAGAGAACUCUCGUUAAGGAACUCGGCAAAAUGACCCCGUAACUUCGGGAGAAGGGGUGCUCUAUUAGGGUGCAAGCCCGAGAGAGCCGCAGUGAAUAGGCCCAGGCGACUGUUUAGCAAAAACACAGGUCUCUGCAAAACCGUAAGGUGACGUAUAGGGGCUGACGCCUGCCCGGUGCUGGAAGGUUAAGAGGAGUGCUUAGCUUCGGCGAAGGUACGAAUUGAAGCCCCAGUAAACGGCGGCCGUAACUAUAACGGUCCUAAGGUAGCGAAAUUCCUUGUCGGGUAAGUUCCGACCCGCACGAAAGGCGCAACGAUCUGGGCACUGUCUCAACGAGAGACUCGGUGAAAUUAUAGUACCUGUGAAGAUGCAGGUUACCCGCGACAGGACGGAAAGACCCCGUGGAGCUUUACUGCAACCUGAUAUGGAAUGUUUGUACCGCUUGUACAGGAUAGGUAGGAGCCGAAGAGACGUGUGCGCUAGCAUACGAGGAG